AGCCUGCUGCUAAUGUGCUUACAGUGCUCACGGUCGAGAAGAACGCAGUCAUCUAACACAAGUGCAGCUGCUUCCGUUUUUGUGUGUUGUUGUUGUUGUUAUUGUUGUUUUAUUUUUUGAGACAGAGUCUCACUAUGUAGCCCUGGAUGCCAUGCAACUUUCUAUAUAGACCAGACUGGCCUUGAGCUCACAGGGAUCCGACCACCUCUGUCUCCUGAGUGCUGGGAUUAAGGUCUAACGUGACACGUUAUAUUGCUAUACGUGGAAUAGCACCUGUUGUUUAUUAAAUAUGAUGCACAGUAUAUAUUGGAGUCCCAUGACUGAUAUGGCUGCAGUCCAUAAAGAGGAGCACACCCCUUAUUGUUAACCAAGGGAAAACUCCACAUCCAAAUUUCAGACUGUGUUAUCUACUAAAUGUGUCACCUUACAGCAUCAUGAGCAGAAAAACUGAACAUUAAACUGUCAUACGUGAAGAACAUGUUUUGCACAUGGGCACUGCAGGGGGAAAUUGGGUAGAGGGGCCAUGGGAUCUCUACAUGUCAUUUUUUAAAAUUGCCUGUGAACAGUGACCUCCAAAUGAGAAGUUUAAUUCACAAACAAAAAGCAGGUCAAGUUCUGGGUAAACAAGUUGUGGUCACCUGCUGUGAGUAAUUUCACUUCCAUUUCGGUUUAGGUCUGUAUUUGGCUUCCUAUGAAAGCGAAAGUCCAGAGAACCAGACAGAAAAGGAGAGGUGGAAAUCUCUAAG
This 746-nucleotide long non-coding RNA is filed under the name Rattus norvegicus (Norway rat). Its description in RNAcentral is "long non-coding RNA NONRATT004212". The record is from RNAcentral. Lineage: Eukaryota; Metazoa; Chordata; Mammalia; Rodentia; Muridae.